GAUGAACGCUGGCGGCGUGCCUAAUACAUGCAAGUCGAGCGAACAGACGAGAUUGCUUGCCCUAUCUGACGUUAGCGGCGGACGGGUGUGUAACACGUGGGUAACCUACCUAUGAGACUGGGAUCACUUCGGGACACCGGAUCUAAUCCCGGAUAAUAUUUAGCUUCGCAUGAUGCAAUAGUGAAAGACGAUUCUGCUGUCCCUUAUAGAUGGACCCGCGGGUUAUUAGCUAGUUGGUGAGGUAACGGAUCACCAAGGCAACGCUCCAUAGCCGACCUGAGAGGUGGAUCGCCAACAUUGGAACUGAGCCACGCCCCAGACUCCUACGGGAGGCAGAAGUAGGGAAUCUUCGGAAAGGGAGGAAGUCCUGCCGGAGCAAGGCCGCGUGAUUGAAGAGGUUUUUCGGAUCGUAAAACUCGGUUGUAAGGGAAGAACAAGUACGUUAGUAACUGAACGUACCUUGACGGUACCUAACCAGAAAGCCACGGCUAACUACGUG
Molecule: ribosomal RNA, 499 nt
Filed under: uncultured bacterium
Lineage: Bacteria
Description: partial 16S ribosomal RNA
Rfam family: Bacterial small subunit ribosomal RNA
Source: RNAcentral